This 449-nucleotide ribosomal RNA is filed under the name uncultured bacterium. RNAcentral describes it as "bacterial SSU rRNA". It matches the Rfam family "Bacterial small subunit ribosomal RNA", at positions 328 to 794 of the family's 1533-position model. The record is from RNAcentral.
GUUCCAGACUCCUACGGGAGGCAGCAGUGGGGAAUAUUGCACGAUGGGGGAAACCCUGAUGCAGCGACGCCGCGUGAGUGAAGAAGUAUUUCGGUAUGUAAAUCUCUAUCAGCAGGGAAGAAAAUGACGGUACCUGAUUAAGAAGCCCCGGCUAACUACGUGCCAGCAGCCGCGGUAAUACGUAGGGGGCAAGCGUUAUCCGGAUUUACUGGGUGUAAAGGGAGCGUAGACGGUGAUGCAAGUCAGAAGUGAAAGCCCGGGGCUCAACUCCGGGACUGCUUUUGAAACUGUGUGACUGGAGUGCAGGAGAGGUAAGCGGAAUUCCUGGUGUAGCGGUGAAAUGCGUAGAUAUCACGCAGAACUCCGAUUGCGAAGGCAGCAUACCGGCGUUCAACUGACGCUGAGGCACGAAAGCGUGGGGAUCGAACAGGAUUAGAUACCCCCGUAGA